UAGGGAAUAUUGGGCAAUGGAUGCAAGUCUGACCCAGCCAUGCCGCGUGCCGGAUGAAGGCCCUCAGGGUUGUAAACGGCUUUUAUUCGGGAAGAAGAGCAGGGAUGCGUUCUUGUGUGACGGUACCGAAUGAAUAAGCACCGGCUAACUCCGUGCCAGCAGCCGCGGUAAUACGGAGGGUGCGAGCGUUGUCCGGAUUUAUUGGGUUUAAAGGGUGCGUAGGUGGCUUAAUAAGUCAGUGGUGAAAUACAGCCGCUCAACGGUUGCGGUGCCAUUGAUACUGUUAAGAUUGAUACAAGUGGAGGCUGCCGGAAUGGAUGGUGUAGCGGUGAAAUGCAUAGAUAUCAUCCAGAACACCAAUUGCGAAGGCGGGUGGCUACGUUUGAUUUGACACUGAGGAACGAAAGAAUGGAGAGCAAACA
RNAcentral lists this ribosomal RNA (422 nucleotides) under uncultured bacterium. RNAcentral's name for it is "bacterial SSU rRNA". It matches the Rfam family "Bacterial small subunit ribosomal RNA", at positions 355 to 774 of the family's 1533-position model. The record is from RNAcentral.